AGCAGCCGCGGUAAUUCCAGCUCCAAUAGCGUAUAUUAAAGUUGUUGCAGUUAAAAAAGCUCGUAGUUGAAUUUCGGGAUCAGUAUGUUGGUCGUGCUUCGGUACGUACUGUCAUUACUGGUUUCUACCUUCUGAAGAACCUUGAUGUCAUUAAUUUGGUGUCUUGGGGGAAUCAGGACUGUUACUUUGAAAAAAUUAGAGUGUUUAAAGCAAGCAUACGCUUGAAUACAUUAGCAUGGAAUAAUGAAAUAGGACGUUUGAUUCUAUUUUGUUGGUUUCUAGGAUCGACGUAAUGAUUAAUAGGGAUAGUUGGGGGGCAUUAGUAUUCAAUUGUCAGAGGUGAAAUUCUUGGAUUUAUUGAAGACUAACUACUGCGAAAGCAUUUGCCAAGGAUGUUUUCAUUAAUCAAGAACGAAAGUUAGGGGAUCGAAGACGAUCAGAUACCGUCGUAGUCUUAACCAUAAACUAUGCCGACUAGGGAUCGGAUGAUGUUAUUUUUUAAUGACUCAUUCGGCGCCUU
This 520-nucleotide unclassified non-coding RNA is filed under the name uncultured Glomus. Its description in RNAcentral is "SSU rRNA". It matches the Rfam family "Eukaryotic small subunit ribosomal RNA", at positions 569 to 1089 of the family's 1831-position model. RNAcentral also lists the same sequence under 1 other name. The record is from RNAcentral. Lineage: Eukaryota; Fungi; Glomeromycota; Glomeromycetes; Glomerales; Glomeraceae.